This 479-nucleotide ribosomal RNA is filed under the name uncultured bacterium. RNAcentral describes it as "bacterial SSU rRNA". It matches the Rfam family "Bacterial small subunit ribosomal RNA", at positions 329 to 801 of the family's 1533-position model. The record is from RNAcentral.
UUGCGAACCCUACGGGAGGCAGCAGUGGGGAAUCUUCCGCAAUGGACGAAAGUCUGACGGAGCAACGCCGCGUGAGUGAUGACGGCCUUCGGGUUGUAAAGCUCUGUUAAUCGGGACGAAAGGCCUUCUUGCGAAUAGUGAGAAGGAUUGACGGUACCGGAAUAGAAAGCCACGGCUAACUACGUGCCAGCGGCCGCGGUAAUACGUAGGUGGCAAGCGUUGUCCGGAAUUAUUGGGCGUAAAGCGCGCGCAGGCGGAUAGGUCAGUCUUUCUUAAAAGUUCGGGGCUUAACCCCGUGAUGGGAUGGAAACUGCCAAUCUAGAGUAUCGGAGAGGAAAGUGGAAUUCCUAGGGUAGCGGUGAAAUGCGUGGAUAUUAGGAAGAACACCAGUGGCGAAGGCGACUUUCUGGACGAAAACUGACGCUGAGGCGCGAAAGCCAGGGGAGCGAACGGGAUUAGAUACCCCGGUAGUCCUGAGU